This is a non-coding RNA of Phoenix dactylifera (date palm), 2816 nucleotides long. NCBI's taxonomy places the organism in Eukaryota, Viridiplantae, Streptophyta, Magnoliopsida, Arecales, Arecaceae. The record is from RefSeq and is a predicted model, not a curated record.
UGUAUGAAAUUAUUUUUUUUAUAGUGAUGCAUUCAUCCGUCUAUCUUGUAAAAUAUACAUGGUGAUUUAUUGAUUUUUGUCCAUAGUGGAUUAAGGUUGGAUUGCUCCAUUCUUUUUUUCUCUUUAAGAAAAAAAUAAACAUUUUUCAUCUACAAUUUGCUUUAACUUUUCGUAAUCCAAUUGCUUUUCUACAGGCCGUUGCACACGAACAAAUUUUAGCCAUACGGCAAAAAGAGGCCGGUGCAACUUGUGAGAUUUAUUGCUGGAUAAAGGGUUACUUUUUGAAUUGCCAAAUCAAUUGAUAUGGGUCCGAUAUAUUUGGUGCACCAUGUGCGCAUGAUAGCCACCCCAAAAUGUUUUUUCUUGUGAAUUAAAUAGAUACUUACAUGGGACAUCUCAUUGUCAAUGUCAGCAUGACAGCAUAUCAACUAUUUCAAGUCCCAUUUUGAUGUGCUAUUAUUAUUAAUGAGAAAAAGGUCCACGCCUUAUCUACUGCCUUCUACACCUAUCCAUUUAUUACAUCAUCCCGCCUGCGACCGCAGGCAGCUGCGUCCUAGAAAGGCGCGUCAGCCCCGCCUGAUUCCCGCACCCAAAGCCAGAGUGAUCGCCAGCCGCGUCCAGCUGCUCUUCUUCCACAGCAAACCCCUUCCACCUCCGACGCUUUCACGGGACUCCCACCUCUCUUAAGUCCUCCAACCACAAGACCCCCGGCGGCUUCAACAGCAGCAAGAGGAGGAGCUCUUCUAACGGGGCAAAAAUGUCAUCAUCCCUGGGCACCGAACGUUGAUUGCCAGAGCGUGGCCUUCGCUGCCUCCCUCUUUCCCCACCUAGGGUUCUUGUACUUCAUCGCCGGAUCCUAGACCGCGCCAAAACUUACCCUCUUCGGGUUCUAUUUCUUGCUCGCUUUUGUUGGGUCCACAAGUAUGUCUCUUCAUCUGCCCAUCUCUUGUUUUUUUUGCUCUUCCCCUGUUUUAUAUGGAAUCAAUAUAACCGUGCUUUCUUGCUUGAUUGAUCUCUUGGCAUGGCUUGCCACCUGCUGUCAUGGAAAUGCUCGUGAACUAAUGACAUCUCAACAAUGAAAAACAAUUUCUUUCUUUCCCCAGAUUUUGAGCUUCAUACGAAUCACGCGACUGCAAACAAAUAUAUCCAUGUGCUAUUUUGAUGAUUCAUAGAAUGUGGAGAUUCUAUAUGGUCUGCAUUAGACUGAAAUAGAUGCAGAAAGUACUUUGAGGUUCUCAGAAUUGGUUCUGCUGAAUUUUGGGACCUUAGAGCUGAGAACAAGUAGUUAUCUUUCUCUUCUUAUUUCUUUACUUUGAUUUCAGCUGGGUUAGGCCAAAAUAUUGCAGGUAAGCCAUUUGUUACAUGACGUGACUACAUGUCUGCAGCACCACAGAACUUUAUGAAAUGUAAAGUGUCUGAAUAUAAUCCUUGCAAGCGAGCAGACCGGUAAUUUUUUUUAAGCUUGCGUCAUACCUCCUUAACAAUUUAGUUAGUGAAAUUGUCAUUAAUUGGCUGAUUUGUUUUAUUAUUGCAUUACUAGAAAGCUCCGCGUGUUUUGUGCAUGCAUAAUGAAGGAAAGCAGCAAUGACCUCCAAUAAACUGAACAUGUAUAAAGUACAUAACGGAACUUCUUAAGUGAUCUUUUAUCCAUAUUCCGACAAUCUUUUGCCUUUGAUUUGCAUAAAUGAUUCACUGUAAAUUAUAGUUUCAGUUCCAUGUAAAUGUGUGACAAACCUUUCUGGCGAUGGUUUUGGUAAUCCUAUUAAAGAUUCAGAGCAUGAAAUGCAACCCCCCAUAUAACACCAAUUUUGUGUCUGAAGAGAAUUUUAUUAGGAAUAACACACUUCCUUUGAGUGUUAUUCAGUUGUUGCAGGUUUUUCAAUGGUAAAGAUUGUGAUCCAGUCAGCAGACUCUCUGAUGAUGUCUCUACUUUAGCAAGGCUGAGCUACUUCUGGCACUUCCUCCUUUGGUAGCCAGGAUUUCAGGCUAAGGACGUAUCUAAUAACCUAUGUCCAUUGUAUUCUCUCUUGGAGCCUUAUGAGAAGAAGCUGGAAACAUCAAGUUGAAAUUUUGGAUCGAACUCCACUGGUUCAAGCAUGAAAUCCAAGUCCAUCAGAGGAGAAUUUGUGUCUGAGGUUGCAGCAGACAUUAUUUCAAUGAGGUCGGACUCGGCUGUCUGAAGAUUGAACCCCCCACCAUGGUAACUCAUUCUGCAAGGGGAUACUGAGAAAUAGUUGGACGCUGAUGUUUGCGAGAGGAAUGAUGGAGAGAAGCUGCCCGUGAAACCAUUAUCCAGUGCUGAAGGGGAGGAAAAGAAAAGGUCCUCAGCCUUUACGCCACUGACUGGAGUGGAGGGGAAGGAGAAGGAUAAAGAGCUCUUGUCCUGAGCUUCCGAGCCCAAGCCUUGGGUUAUUACUUUGAGGUCUCUUUGGAAGGUUAGAAGCAGGUUUUGGUCCUGCUGCUGCUGGGAAUGCUCCUGGGAAUUAGGUUUGUUUUGUUUCAGCUCUCGUUCCCGGGAUGCUGAUUUUGGGACUGAUUGGGACCUCUGGUGGCAUGUGUGAGUCCCAUGGUAGGUGACAUCAAAGACCGACGGGUUCUCAUCGGAUCUCUGCACUUGUUUUGUUGCUAGGCAGCCCUGAGUGUUGCGAUGUGUGCAUCUGUAGUAGCCUCUGCAAAGAGGUGCAACAAUGUCUGGUUAGAGGGAAGGGAAGGAUGUUUAAGACUGGCCAUCAAUAUAGCCCAUGAUUGUAAAUACUUUUCUCUCCUGUUUUAUAGCAUGAAAUGCGAAUAUACUUGUAUUUUUGCAUUUAUCCUUA